UAAAAAAACAAGUGAAAAAUUAACAAAAAUUAUAGCAGAACAUGACUAUCAACCGAAUCAAUUUGCUCAAAGUUUAAGAGCGAGACAAACACACCUUAUUGGUGCCAUUAUACCUAGAAUGAAUUCAUAUGCAGUAGACGAAACAAUCAAAGGAUUGGCAAAACAAUGCCAAAAAUAUGAAUCACAAUUAAUUUUAAAUUAUACAGGUUUAAAUAUCGAAGCAGAAAUACAAGCGCUUGAAACAUUAGCACGCAGUAAAGUAGAUGGUAUUGUUUUAAUGGCUACAGAUAUAACAGAGAGACAUAUUGAAGUCA
RNAcentral lists this small RNA (314 nucleotides) under Staphylococcus aureus. Its description in RNAcentral is "HMPRFS0000_2238". Lineage: Bacteria; Bacillati; Bacillota; Bacilli; Caryophanales; Staphylococcaceae. The record is from RNAcentral.